Molecule: ribosomal RNA, 490 nt
Filed under: uncultured bacterium
Lineage: Bacteria
Description: partial 16S ribosomal RNA
Rfam family: Bacterial small subunit ribosomal RNA
Source: RNAcentral
AUUGAACGCUGGCGGCAUGCCUUACACAUGCAAGUCGAACGGCAGCAUGAUCUAGCUUGCUAGAUUGAUGGCGAGUGGCGAACGGGUGAGUAAUACAUCGGAACGUGCCCUGUAGUGGGGGAUAACUAGUCGAAAGAUUAGCUAAUACCGCAUACGACCUGAGGGUGAAAGUGGGGGACCGCAAGGCCUCAUGCUAUAGGAGCGGCCGAUGUCUGAUUAGCUAGUUGGUGAGGUAAAGGCUCACCAAGGCGACGAUCAGUAGCUGGUCUGAGAGGACGAUCAGCCACACUGGGACUGAGACACGGCCCAGACUCCUACGGGAGGCAGCAGUGGGGAAUUUUGGACAAAGGGCGAAAGCCUGAUCCAGCAAUGCCGCGUGUGUGAAGAAGGCCUUCGGGUUGUAAGGCACUUUUGUCCGGAAAGAAAUGGCUCUGGUUAAUACCUGGGGUCGAUGACGGUACCGGAAGAAUAAGGACCGGCUAACUACGUG